UGGAGAUCCCUUCUUCUGGUGUUUUGUGGGUGAGCCCAGCACAAAGCUUGUGUUUGGACUGACUGUAUACUAAGCAAGAAGAUAACUUUUUGGUUUUUUUCACCACCUAAAUAGGUUUUCAGAAAUCAUCAGUGGCAGCAUGCAGUGAAGGUACCUAGUGACAGUCAAGAUAACAUGAAACAGCUCACAAUGGAGCUUGUUUUCUACAGUUUUGGAGGAAACUAACAUAUGAACCACGUUUCAGAGUUAUGCUGCAUUUGCGUGACCUUGGUGUGUAUAUAUAUAUAUAUAGCUUCAAGCCUGCAGAAGCUGGUAACAGCUCAGAUUGAAUGUGAAAGUGAAUGUGCAAGACUGCUCUACAAAGUUCUUUUCAAAGUAACAGCCAUUUGUUUUGAGCUUCCUGGUAUAUGAAAAUUAAAUAUAUUUGAAAUGUUCUUUGUAUUAUCUUUAAUGUGGACAAACUAUGCUGCUUUAAUUUUACACUGUAUCGUUCUUUG
Molecule: long non-coding RNA, 497 nt
Organism: Lagopus muta (rock ptarmigan)
Lineage: Eukaryota; Metazoa; Chordata; Aves; Galliformes; Phasianidae
Exons: 3
Source: RefSeq, a predicted model, not a curated record